RNAcentral lists this ribosomal RNA (168 nucleotides) under Glycine max (soybean). RNAcentral describes it as "5.8S ribosomal RNA". It matches the Rfam family "5.8S ribosomal RNA". From Rfam's summary of the family: 5.8S ribosomal RNA (5.8S rRNA) is a component of the large subunit of the eukaryotic ribosome. It is transcribed by RNA polymerase I as part of the 45S precursor that also contains 18S and 28S rRNA. Functionally, it is thought that 5.8S rRNA may be involved in ribosome translocation. Lineage: Eukaryota; Viridiplantae; Streptophyta; Magnoliopsida; Fabales; Fabaceae. The record is from RNAcentral.
ACAUACAAUGACUCUCGGCAACGGAUAUCUCGGCUCUUGCAUCGAUGAAGAACGUAGCGAAAUGCGAUACUUGGUGUAAAUUGCAGAAUCCCGUAAACCAUCGAGCUUUGAACGCAAGUUGCGCCCGAAGCCAUUUAGGCCGAGGGCACGCCUGCCUGGGUGUCACAC